RNAcentral lists this small RNA (249 nucleotides) under Paenibacillus sp. Leaf72. RNAcentral's name for it is "BsrG". It matches the Rfam family "BsrG". From Rfam's summary of the family: bsrE, bsrG and bsrH pair through intermolecular interactions with antisense sRNAs. SR4 interaction with the 3'UTR of bsrG RNA promotes bsrG degradation and inhibits its translation. The record is from Rfam by way of RNAcentral. Lineage: Bacteria; Bacillati; Bacillota; Bacilli; Caryophanales; Paenibacillaceae.
AGUAAUAGAAUAGGCUUAAAGGCGCGGUCGGCUACCUCCUCAAGAAGGGAGGGAUGCCCUGUGACAGUUUUCGAAGCACUCAUGCUUAUGCUUACCUUUGGUACGCUUAUCGUAGCGCUGCUGUCCAAUAAACGCAAAUAGACCGCCCUCUAGCAAAGGAAUGCGGUCUAUUCGUGUAUCUCAUUCAUUGCGGAGCCUACCGCCCUUAAAAGCGGCUAUUGCGCAGAGAGUCGUGUUGACGCACGGCUC